RNAcentral lists this ribosomal RNA (397 nucleotides) under uncultured bacterium. RNAcentral describes it as "partial 16S ribosomal RNA". It matches the Rfam family "Bacterial small subunit ribosomal RNA", at positions 523 to 918 of the family's 1533-position model. The record is from RNAcentral.
AUACGUAGGGGGCGAGCGUUGUCCGGAAUGAUUGGGCGUAAAGGGCGCGUAGGCGGCCCGGUAAGUCUGGAGUGAAAGUCCUGCUUUUAAGGUGGGAAUUGCUUUGGAUACUGUCGGGCUUGAGUGCAGGAGAGGUAAGUGGAAUUCCCCGUGUAGCGGUGAAAUGCGUAGAGAUUGGGAGGAACACCAGUGGCGAAGGCGACUUACUGGACUGUAACUGACGCUGAGGCGCGAAAGUGUGGGGAGCAAACAGGAUUAGAUACCCUGGUAGUCCACACUGUAAACGAUGAAUGCUAGGUGUAGGGGGUAUCGACCCCUUCUGUGCCGCAGUUAACACAAUAAGCAUUCCGCCUGGGGAGUACGGCCGCAAGGUUGAAACUCAAAUGAAUUGACGGGG